Molecule: ribosomal RNA, 471 nt
Filed under: uncultured bacterium
Lineage: Bacteria
Description: bacterial SSU rRNA
Rfam family: Bacterial small subunit ribosomal RNA
Source: RNAcentral
ACGAACGUUGGCGGCGUGGAUUAGGCAUGCAAGUCGAACGAAUCCCAGUGGGGGUAACUCUGCUGGGGGAAGUGGCGAAAGGGGCAGUAAUGCGUGGGUAACCUACCUCCGGGACCGGGAUAGCCAUUCUAACGAGUGGGUAAUACCGGGCAAAGUGGUUGAGAGGCAUCUCUUGGCCAUGAGAUGAAUUUCGCCUGGGGAGGGGCUCACGUCGUAUUAGCUUGUUGGCGGGGUAACGGCCCACCAAGGCAAAGAUGCGUAGCGGGUGUGAGAGCACGACCCGCGCCACUGGCACUGAGACACUGGCCAGACACCUACGGGUGGCUGCAGUCGAGAAUCUUCGGCAAUGGGCGCAAGCCUGACCGAGCGACGCCGCGUGUGUGAUGAAGGCCUUCGGGUUGUAAAGCACUGUCGAGGGGGAGGAAAGCGCAAGCUUGACCUAUCCCUGGAGGAAGCACGGGCUAAGUUCGU